Long non-coding RNA from Olea europaea var. sylvestris, 1299 nucleotides. RefSeq lists it as uncharacterized. The record is from RefSeq and is a predicted model, not a curated record. The transcript is spliced from 2 exons. Lineage: Eukaryota; Viridiplantae; Streptophyta; Magnoliopsida; Lamiales; Oleaceae.
CAAAACAACACAAUGCCCUACUGGUUACAGACAAAAAUCCCAAAUCGCUACAAAAUCCACGACUCAAUUUUCUUCGUAUGAAAAAGAUAGGGCGAAAAAACCAUCUCCAACCAGUGAAUCUUUCGAUGGCUGCUUUGGGGUUUCCAAUUGAUAACUAUUUCUCCCUCUGUGGACUCUUUCUUGAAAUUUUCGCUUUACAUUGCACCAUUAACGGUUUCAAAUGAUUGUAAAGCUCUAAUAGUUUCAGCUAGUAUAAAUUGAGAAGGAAUGGCAAAAGUUAGAGAUAUAACUGAGGAUUUUAAAGAUGCAAUUCUGCUUGUGGCAACGGUUUUGGGAUACAAUGAGAUUCUUUUCCUUUGUGAAUUUUGUUAUUUUUCAAUCAAUAUGAUAUCAGUCGAAAUUUUUUGAUAUAUUUUUUCCAUUGACCAUUUAUAUGGUGGUUUGAGAUUGGAAUUUAAAACUUUUUCAACACAAUUAUAAAUACUUUGCGAGGUUUGACAGAAGUUUUGUUUUGUGUAAAAUGCUAUGCGAAUUUUGUUUAUGAAAUGCUAUGACGAUUCUCUUAGGUGAUCUUUAUUUUUUUUCUUGGUAUUGUGCCUUCGCUUACUGCAGUUGGUGAUGAGGAAUACUAAUCGAUUCUUACUUAGCCAGUGCUACUGCAAUACGAUUAAUACUAAAUAUUACCUGCUAAAUACUGAUCUUGUUCACAUAUCCGACAACAGAAAUGGUAUUACAAAAUUCUUGUGCUCCAUUUUAUCUUCAUUUUAUCGUAGUUUUUAUGCCUAAGUGAUAUUUUUGUACUUGUUUGCUAUAAUUUUGGUAUGGAUGUCAAGUUUAGGAAAGGAUGCUGAGGCAUUAAUCAAGAAAUUGAGCACAUCGAAAGAUAAAGGUCCCUCAGGUCUCCGAGAGGGCUAGCUGCAAAGUACUGGGAGAAGCCAACUAAGUAUGUUAGCCCAAAAUGCAACCCCCAUUUUAUCCAGCAGCAGCAUUCAAUUAUUGGUUAUUAGAUUGCAGCAAAGCAGUUCCUGCUUCUUGUAACUCUAUGUAUAGAAUAAGGUUGUAACUCUCUUGUAUAUAGCUUUGUUCAUAUUCUAACUGUCCCUUUUUAGCUCAAAUAUGAAACUUUUAGAAAAUGUAAUAACUAUUAUGUAGAACAAAUAGUGAGAAAAGAAAUGAAAAGGUUAUCAUUUUGGUUUUGGUUGGACAAUAGGUCCAGUGAGGCCUCUGGUUCAAAUCCAGAUCAUUCAUUGUCAGUAUGAGUUUAUUUCCAUAAAAAAUGAUUUUUUUGGUAGAAUAGAA